This 695-nucleotide long non-coding RNA is filed under the name Rattus norvegicus (Norway rat). RNAcentral describes it as "long non-coding RNA NONRATT001466". Lineage: Eukaryota; Metazoa; Chordata; Mammalia; Rodentia; Muridae. The record is from RNAcentral.
GGACAUUGAGUCUGUGGAGUCCAGGAUAUGAAAGGAGAAGGGGGGCAUAGUUGGUUUUUUAACACAGUGACUGUCGUGUAGGAACCGGUCUGUGUCUGCUCUCUGCUGUUGACAUUGGCGAAGGGUGUGCUGCUGCUUACAGCUGAGAGAGUGCACUUGACAGUGUGGGCCUCAGUGCACCAACGUCAGGUUUAUAGUCUCUACUUUGACCUCUUUCCUCACCCACAUGUUAAAUACAAGCUGCGUGGUCUCAGCUCUGAUAUGAUGUCACGUCACCUCUCACAUGCUAGACAGCUGGAGCACUGAUGGCAGAUUUUGCUGUGAGCUUAACUAUUGUCAUGUAAGACCAUUGGGGUCUGGGAACACAAGUGGAUGUAUCAUGGUUUCUGCGGCUCCUGCCUGCCUGUCACCUCCUCAAUUAUGGUAAAAGCUAUGGUUUAAAGGCCAUUGGACUUCCAACAUUUACAAGUUCAUUAGAAUAGAAGCUGCCAGAAUGAGAACUCACGUAAGUACCUGUUAUACCAGGAUGCUUUCAGUGGAAAGCUCCUGCAGGGUUUGUUCUCACCUGUUCCUGUGGACCCCAAGCUGGAUCACGCUGAAUUGUUACCAUCACUGCAGACCUGUCUGCCUUUGAGGAACUACCGUGCAGCCUAAGGGAAGGGUGGCUUGAUUUCAAAUAAACUUUUUAGAAUUUU